RNAcentral lists this ribosomal RNA (339 nucleotides) under Triticum aestivum (bread wheat). RNAcentral describes it as "partial small subunit ribosomal RNA". The record is from RNAcentral. Lineage: Eukaryota; Viridiplantae; Streptophyta; Magnoliopsida; Poales; Poaceae.
AUGUGCCAGGAGAUCGCCGGAGCACUGCGAGCGCGGCGAAGACAUUUAUCGGGCGAGUGCUACGGGGUUCUACACGCCAUGGAAAGAAAAGGAGUGGGAGAUGUGUUAUCCAGCUCACCCCAGGACACGGAGAGGUUGACGGAUACGAGCCGGAGGCGACCGGAGCGAGCUCUGAACUUGGCGAAGAUGCUGUCCGGGAAGAAGAGGAAGAAGACAGCGUCGUGGAGGUCGAACCCGAGGUCGUGUGGUCGCGUGCGUGGAGGAAGGGGACGGAGUGGUACUUGGCGUUCCUCUCCAGAGUGGCUGAGGGGUCGGAGGCGCAGCGACGAGCUACUCUGA